AGGGUUUGAUUCUGGCUCAGAUUGAACGCUGGCGGCAGGCUUAACACAUGCAAGUCGAACGAUGAUUAUCUAGCUUGCUAGAUAUGAUUAGUGGCGGACGGGUGAGUAACAUUUAGGAAUCUGCCUAGUAGUGGGGGAUAGCUCGGGGAAACUCGAAUUAAUACCGCAUACGACCUACGGGUGAAAGGGGGCGCAAGCUCUUGCUAUUAGAUGAGCCUAAAUCAGAUUAGCUAGUUGGUGGGGUAAAGGCCCACCAAGGCGACGAUCUGUAACUGGUCUGAGAGGAUGAUCAGUCACACCGGAACUGAGACACGGUCCGGACUCCUACGGGAGGCAGCAGUGGGGAAUAUUGGACAAUGGGGGCAACCCUGAUCCAGCCAUGCCGCGUGUGUGAAGAAGGCCUUUUGGUUGUAAAGCACUUUAAGCAGGGAGGAGAGGCUAAUGGUUAAUACCCAUUAGAUUAGACGUUACCUGCAGAAUAAGCACCGGCUAACUCUGUGCCAGCAGCCGCGGUAAUACAGAGGGUGCGAGCGUUAAUCGGAAUUACUGGGCGUAAAGCGAGUGUAGGUGGCUCAUUAAGUCACAUGUGAAAUCCCCGGGCUUAACCUGGGAACUGCAUGUGAUACUGGUGGUGCUAGAAUAUGUGAGAGGGAAGUAGAAUUCCAGGUGUAGCGGUGAAAUGCGUAGAGAUCUGGAGGAAUACCGAUGGCGAAGGCAGCUUCCUGGCACAAUAUUGACACUGAGAUUCGAAAGCGUGGGUAGCAAACAGGAUUAGAUACCCUGGUAGUCCACGCCGUAAACGAUGUCUACUAGCCGUUGGGGUCCUUGAGACUUUAGUGGCGCAGUUAACGCGAUAAGUAGACCGCCUGGGGAGUACGGCGCCAAGGUUAAAACUCAAAUGAAUUGACGGGGGCCCGCACAAGCGGUGGAGCAUGUGGUUUAAUUCGAUGCAACGCGAAGAACCUUACCUGGUCUUGACAUAGUGAGAAUCCUGCAGAGAUGCGGGAGUGCCUUCGGGAAUUCACAUACAGGUGCUGCAUGGCUGUCGUCAGCUCGUGUCGUGAGAUGUUGGGUUAAGUCCCGCAACGAGCGCAACCCUUUUCCUUAUUUGCCAGCGGGUUAAGCCGGGAACUUUAAGGAUACUGCCAGUGACAAACUGGAGGAAGGCGGGGACGACGUCAAGUCAUCAUGGCCCUUACGACCAGGGCUACACACGUGCUACAAUGGUAGGUACAGAGGGUUGCUACACAGCGAUGUGAUGCUAAUCUCAAAAAGCCUAUCGUAGUCCGGAUUGGAGUCUGCAACUCGACUCCAUGAAGUCGGAAUCGCUAGUAAUCGCGGAUCAGAAUGCCGCGGUGAAU
This 1361-nucleotide ribosomal RNA is filed under the name uncultured bacterium. RNAcentral's name for it is "16S ribosomal RNA". It matches the Rfam family "Bacterial small subunit ribosomal RNA", at positions 8 to 1367 of the family's 1533-position model. The record is from RNAcentral.